UACGGAGGAUGCGAGCGUUAUCCGGAUUUAUUAGGUUUAAAGGGUGUGUAGGCGGAAGACUAAGUCAGUGGUGAAAUCUCUCGGCUUAACCGGGAAACUGCCAUAGAUACUGGUUUUCUUGAGUACAGUUGAAGUAGGCGGAAUGUGUAAUGUAGCGGUGAAAUGCUUAGAUAUUACACAGAACACCGAUUGCGAAGGCAGCUUGCUAAGCUGUUACUGACGCUGAUGCACGAAAGCGUGGGGAGCGAACAGG
RNAcentral lists this ribosomal RNA (253 nucleotides) under uncultured bacterium. Its description in RNAcentral is "partial 16S ribosomal RNA". It matches the Rfam family "Bacterial small subunit ribosomal RNA", at positions 524 to 776 of the family's 1533-position model. The record is from RNAcentral.